GACGAACGCUGGCGGCGUGCCUAAUACAUGCAAGUUGAGCGCUGAAGGUUGGUACUUGUACCGACUGGAUGAGCAGCGAACGGGUGAGUAACGCGUGGGGAAUCUGCCUUUGAGCGGGGGACAACAUUUGGAAACGAAUGCUAAUACCGCAUAAAAACUUUAAACACAAGUUUUAAGUUUGAAAGAUGCAAUUGCAUCACUCAAAGAUGAUCCCGCGUUGUAUUAGCUAGUUGGUGAGGUAAAGGCUCACCAAGGCGAUGAUACAUAGCCGACCUGAGAGGGUGAUCGGCCACAUUGGGACUGAGACACGGCCCAAACUCCUACGGGAGGCAGCAGUAGGGAAUCUUCGGCAAUUGACGAAAGUCUGACCGAGCAACGCCGCGUGAGUGAAGAAGGUUUUCGGAUCGUAAAACUCUGUUGGUAGAGAAGAACGUUGGUGAGAGUGGAAAGCUCAUCAAGUGACGGUAACUACCCAGAAAGGGACGGCUAACUACGUG
RNAcentral lists this ribosomal RNA (497 nucleotides) under uncultured bacterium. RNAcentral describes it as "partial 16S ribosomal RNA". It matches the Rfam family "Bacterial small subunit ribosomal RNA", at positions 28 to 507 of the family's 1533-position model. The record is from RNAcentral.